RNAcentral lists this ribosomal RNA (411 nucleotides) under uncultured bacterium. RNAcentral describes it as "bacterial SSU rRNA". It matches the Rfam family "Bacterial small subunit ribosomal RNA", at positions 64 to 507 of the family's 1533-position model. The record is from RNAcentral.
GAGCGGGCCCUUCGGGGUCAGCGGCGGACGGGUGAGUAACGCGUGGGAACGUGCCNCUCUGGUUCGGAACAACCCUGGGAAACUAGGGCUAAUACCGGAUACGCCUGUGAUCUUUGAGGUCAUGGGGAAAGGCUUGCUGCCGGAGGAUCGGCCCGCGUCUGAUUAGCUAGUUGGCGGGGUAACGGCCCACCAAGGCGACGAUCAGUAGCUCGUCUGAGAGGAUGAUCAGCCACACUGGGACUGAGACACGGCCCAGACUCCUACGGGAGGCAGCAGUGGGGAAUAUUGGACAAUGGGCGCAAGCCUGAUCCAGCCAUGCCGCGUGAGUGAUGACGGCCUUAGGGUUGUAAAGCUCUUUUCUCCGGGACGAUAAUGACGGUACCGGAGGAAUAAGCCCCGGCUAACUUCGUG